Molecule: ribosomal RNA, 253 nt
Filed under: uncultured bacterium
Lineage: Bacteria
Description: partial 16S ribosomal RNA
Rfam family: Bacterial small subunit ribosomal RNA
Source: RNAcentral
UACAGAGGUGGCAAGCGUUGUUCGGAAUUACUGGGCGUAAAGGGCGAGUAGGCGGCCUUCUAAGUCAGACGUGAAAUCCCCCGGCUUAACCUGGGAACUGCGUCUGAUACUGGGAGGCUUGAGUAUGGGAGAGGGAUGUAGAAUUCCAGGUGUAGCGGUGAAAUGCGUAGAUAUCUGGAGGAAUACCGGUGGCGAAGGCGGCAUCCUGGACCAUUACUGACGCUGAGACGCGAAAGCGUGGGGAGCGAACAGG